RNAcentral lists this ribosomal RNA (430 nucleotides) under uncultured Chlamydiae bacterium. RNAcentral describes it as "bacterial SSU rRNA". It matches the Rfam family "Bacterial small subunit ribosomal RNA", at positions 958 to 1385 of the family's 1533-position model. The record is from RNAcentral. Lineage: Bacteria; Pseudomonadati; Chlamydiota; Chlamydiia.
AACGCGAAGAACCUUACCUGGGCUUGACAUGCAGAUGACCGCUAUAGAGAUAUAGAAUUCUCGCAAGAGACAUUUGCACAGGUGCUGCAUGGCUGUCGUCAGCUCGUGCCGUGAGGUGUUGGGUUAAGUCCCGCAACGAGCGCAACCCUUGUCGUUAGUUGCCAGCAUGUAAUGGUGGGCCCUCUAACGAGACUGCCCGGGUUAACCGGGAGGAAGGUGAGGAUGACGUCAAGUCCGCAUGGCCUUUAUGCCCAGGGCUACACACGUGCUACAAUGGCCGGUACAGAAGGCAGCAAGACCGCAAGGUGGAGCAAAUCCUGAAAAGCCGGCCCCAGUUCGGAUUGGAGUCUGCAACUCGACUCCAUGAAGUUGGAAUUGCUAGUAAUGGCGUGUCAGCAACAACGCCGUGAAUACGUUCCCGGGCCUUGUA